AUUUUAAUUCAAUUAGGUUAUUUUUAUGCAUUUCUAAUUGAUUAAAAAUAGUUUCUGACUUCUAAAAAUACUGAAAUUUUUUGUCAAACUUUGUUUGACCUUGUUGAACUUAGGAUAAUUCACUUGGACUUUUCAAAGUUGAUUUGAAGAGAGUUUGAAGUUUGACCUUUCUUUAUUAUUUUAAUUCAAGUAUUAUUUUACUUUUGAAAAAU
Molecule: long non-coding RNA, 212 nt
Filed under: Lathyrus oleraceus (garden pea)
Lineage: Eukaryota; Viridiplantae; Streptophyta; Magnoliopsida; Fabales; Fabaceae
Description: Pisum sativum (pea) long non-coding RNA (PSAT_LNC038721)
Source: RNAcentral